UUUUGGCUAAUGGUUGUCUCCCUAGCAAUUGAGUUAGGUUGGUGGCUGUUAGUUGAGUGAUUUCGGGGAUGUCUACCGUAAAGGUGCAUGAGUGGUGUUUGGUUUGUUUCGGGUGGUUGGCAUCCUUGCUUGCGCAACCAACUUCCACCUGGCUUACCUCUUCAGUUGUGUGUCAACGCUUGUAUCGCGUCGAAUGCAUUGUGGGUUUCCUGUACUGUAUCCCCAGUUGAUGGUAUUGUAUGUUGAAUCGAUGCAGAUUUUCGUCUUGUGUCGCACAUGCGAUGCGAGAUGAUCAUGAAAGCAGCCUUUUUGAUCCAUUUGUUUGAUGCGCAAGCAUUGAUGUUAUGGCUCAUUGAGUGUUUGCUUGGUCUCGUGGAUAUGGAACCUUUUGUGGGCAUGUGAUCUUUGAGUAGCUCCUUGUUUGCCCCGUCCUAAGCUUUUCAAAUACGAUUUCCUAUCAUGCUCAAACGUGGUAGGGUAUGUCGGAUAUGAAUG
RNAcentral lists this unclassified non-coding RNA (495 nucleotides) under Bellida graminea. RNAcentral's name for it is "partial external transcribed spacer". The record is from RNAcentral. Lineage: Eukaryota; Viridiplantae; Streptophyta; Magnoliopsida; Asterales; Asteraceae.